Molecule: long non-coding RNA, 1753 nt
Filed under: Nicotiana tabacum (common tobacco)
Lineage: Eukaryota; Viridiplantae; Streptophyta; Magnoliopsida; Solanales; Solanaceae
Description: long non-coding RNA (NTAB_LNC007169)
Source: RNAcentral
UGGACUUUAUCCUCAAGCUAGAUGUGCUUACCAAACAUCACACAAAUAAAUCAAUGUGAAUUUACAAACCAUUAUUCAGCAUUUAACGAACUUAAAAGAAAUUCAAAAAAAAUUCCAGAAUCAAUCUCGACUUCCCUUCGAACCUUCCUCAUCCUCAAAGAGCUUAACAUAGUCACAAAAAGAGAAGCAUUUAAACCGAGAUCUAAAACUAUGCAGGGGCAGAUUUUAUCAUGAUUGCUGGAAAAUAACCUCAAUAACUCAUAAUUAACAUGUAUUUAACAACCAUGACUAUGGAACCAAAACUAAACACUUCAGUCAGUACACUGCAACUCACAGUCCAUAUUUAAUGCUCUUUACAGAGUCCAUGACAAUCUCUAUUCAACUGCAUCCUCAUAAGUUCAAGUCUAAACUUAACAAAACAGAAUGAAAGGCACACAAAGCUAUACUAAAACAAAACAAGAACCAGAUUUAAACUAAACAGAUAGUAGAAAAACCAGUAUUGAUUAUUGCUCCAAUUUGAAUUACAGAAGUUCAUAGUUGCACUUCACAUGAUGACAGAUCCAAAGCGUACCUGAAAAUUGAAAUAUAAACCAAAGGGUGAGGAAUCAACAGUAGUAUUGGCAGAAAUCAGCACCAGCAACACUCAGUAAACCAAUUUCAAACCCCAGAAAAUGAUGUGCAACAAUCCAGAAAUCAGUUUCGAUCGAACAGUGACCCAAACUUCAAACCAAACUUCUACAACCCAAGUUCAAUCCAUUCUAUCCCCAAAUGAGAAACCAUUAUUUUCAGAAAUUGAAAAAAAUCAGAAAUCACUGAGGCAACUCAAUGAAACAGUAAAAACCAGCCAUUUUUAUUUUUCUCAAUUUUUUAUCUCUGAAUCUCUGCCUUGAAUGCCAAGUUAGACCUAACGGCUAAGCCAGGCCUGGACUCAAAACUUAAUUCAAGUCCCUUGGAGUGAAUUCUGAAAUGGAUUCAAAGCUCAAACGGCAUAAUGACUCAAACCCAGAUUUAGCAAAUUAUGGCAAAUGGUAAAGAAACAACUGAAUAGUUUUCAUAAAAUUUAAAACCUGAGCUAAAAUACUAGUUAAUGCAAAAUUAAACUAAAUUAUCACUUCAACCUAAUUAGGUUAAACUAAAUGGAUAAAUAAAGAAGAUGAACAAAGAAUUUAUCAAGCAAGACCAAACGAAAAUCAAGGGAUAAACCUGGAAAAGAACAAACUGAAAAAGAACAGACAAAAUAAGGUUUAUCUUGGCCAGAAAUUUUGGUCGAUUUUCAAUUGAAUUAUCCGGAGAAAAGAAGAAGAGAAGAAGAAAAAUAGAAGAACGAACCAAAGAAAAGAAAGAAACUCACUGACUCGGCUCGCACUCAUGACUGCCUCUCCGAUUAAAGCCCCAAUAUAGUAUCAAUCGCCUGUUCUUUGUCAAGAACAUGCGACUAAUGUUAUUCUGUGGUAAAAUCGGCACCCUAACACUCGUGAAUACUGGAGAAGUGGACUUGCAUGAAUGAACUUGACUUUGGCUUCUAGGGUUCGAACCCUAGAUUUAAUAUUUGAGGAGUUCUAAGCAUAUUCGAAUGCAGAGUGAGGAUUUGGGAAGAGGGGAGUGAGGGGGUUCUCUGGUGUUAGUUUGGGGUCGGUUUGUGGUGGUGCCGCCACCGGUGGCGGUGGGAAAUAAUGGCGUCGCUUAGGGUUUGGUUGAGAUAAUCUCUGAGGAGAGGGGGGUAUAAGAGAGACGAGUGAGUGAGGGGGCAGCG